UGAGUAUAAAUUAAUGAUAAAUAUUAUUUGAUCAUAAAGUCUUAGAUUUUAUAGAAUAAUUAGAAUAAGGCAAAUUGACCUCGAGGAAUUCGUGUAGUGAUUUGUAGUUACUUGUUGCCUCACUAAGAAGCGAUUAGUAAAUGUGUCUUGUUAUGCAAUUAUCCUCUUUUUAUAGGCCUGGCAAAAAGCACGAAGUGAUGGGUGGGAGCGAGCCUUUUGUGAAAAGAAUUUUCUUUCACAGGCUACUAUGGAAAUAAUCAUAGGCAUGAGAACACAGUUGCUUGGUCAACUUAGAGCAUCAGGUUUUGUUAGAGCACGAGGUGGUGGUGACAUUCGAGAUGUUAACACAAACUCUGAGAAUUGGGCUGUCGUUAAAGCUGCAUUGGUGGCAGGCAUGUAUCCUAAUUUAGUCCACGUGGACAGAGAGAAUCUAGUGUUGACAGGGCCAAAGGAGAAAAAAGUACGAUUUCAUCCUGCUUCAGUUCUCAGUCAGCCUCAAUAUAAAAAGAUUCCUCCAGCCAAUGGUCAAGCUGCAGCAAUUAAGGCACUGCCCACAGAUUGGCUUAUUUAUGAUGAAAUGACCAGAGCCCAUAGAAUAGCUAAUAUUAGAUGUUGUUCAGCAGUGACGCCUGUCACUAUAUUGGUAUUCUGUGGACCAGCUAGAUUGGCAAGUAAUGCUCUUCAGGAACCUUCAUCCUUUAGAGUGGAUGGCAUUCCCAAUGACAGUAGUGAUAGUGAAAUGGAGGACAAAACUACAGCUAAUUUGGCAGCCUUGAAACUGGAUG
RNAcentral lists this small RNA (785 nucleotides) under Pan troglodytes (chimpanzee). Its description in RNAcentral is "retained intron". The record is from RNAcentral. Lineage: Eukaryota; Metazoa; Chordata; Mammalia; Primates; Hominidae.